This 225-nucleotide long non-coding RNA is filed under the name Physcomitrium patens. Its description in RNAcentral is "long non-coding RNA (PPAT_LNC002882)". Lineage: Eukaryota; Viridiplantae; Streptophyta; Bryopsida; Funariales; Funariaceae. The record is from RNAcentral.
AAUACUACAAUACUUUCUCCCAGAAACAAUAUUCCUUCAUCAACUGAUAACAACAGUGUGCAACCUUACACUCUCAAAAGAUUGCUUAAAACUCAAUAAUUUCAUCUAACACCAGAAAUAACAGACUUCACUCUAACCAAUCUAAAUUCACAUAAUUUUUGUAAUCACAGACUUCCUCUGUCAAAACACACACAGCUCUCAAUAAACAACAAUCAUAAUCUUUUA